CCUACGGGUGGCUGCAGUGGGGAAUAUUGGACAAUGGGCGAAAGCCUGAUCCAGCCAUGCCGCGUGUGUGAAGAAGGCCUUCGGGUUGUAAAGCACUUUCAGUGGGGAAGAAAGCCUUGGGGCUAAUACCCUCGAGGAAGGACAUCACCCACAGAAGAAGCACCGGCUAACUCCGUGCCAGCAGCCGCGGUAAUACGGAGGGUGCGAGCGUUAAUCGGAAUUACUGGGCGUAAAGCGCGCGUAGGCGGUCUGAUAAGCCGGUUGUGAAAGCCCCGGGCUCAACCUGGGAACGGCAUCCGGAACUGUCAGGAUAGAGUGCAGGAGAGGAAGGUAGAAUUCCCGGUGUAGCGGUGAAAUGCGUAGAGAUCGGGAGGAAUACCAGUGGCGAAGGCGGCCUUCUGGACUGACACUGACGCUGAGGUGCGAAAGCGUGGGUAGCAAACAGGAUUAGAUACCCUUGUAGUC
Molecule: ribosomal RNA, 465 nt
Filed under: Vreelandella stevensii
Lineage: Bacteria; Pseudomonadati; Pseudomonadota; Gammaproteobacteria; Oceanospirillales; Halomonadaceae
Description: partial 16S ribosomal RNA
Rfam family: Bacterial small subunit ribosomal RNA
Source: RNAcentral